GAGUAACGCGUGAGAACCUGCCUUCAGAAUGGGGACAACAGUUGGAAACGACUGCUAAUACCCAAUGUGCCGAAAGGUGAAAGAUUUAUCGUCUGAAGAUGGGCUCGCGUCUGAUUAGCUAGAUGGUGGGGUAAGAGCCUACCAUGGCAACGAUCAGUAGCUGGUCUGAGAGGAUGAGCAGCCACACUGGGACUGAGACACGGCCCAGACUCCUACGGGAGGCAGCAGUGGGGAAUUUUCCGCAAUGGGCGAAAGCCUGACGGAGCAAUACCGCGUGAGGGAGGAAGGUCCUUGGAUUGUAAACCUCUUUUAUCAGGGAAGAAAAAAAUGACGGUACCUGAUGAAUAAGCAUCGGCUAACUCCGUGCCAGCAGCCGCGGUAAUACGGAGGAUGCAAGCGUUAUCCGGAAUUAUUGGGCGUAAAGCGUCCGUAGGUGGUUUUGCAAGUCUGCUGUUAAAGAAUGGAGCUUAACUCCAUAAGAGCGGUGGAAACUGCAAGACUAGAGUACAGUAGGGGUAGCAGGAAUUCCCAGUGUAGCGGUGAAAUGCGUAGAUAUUGGGAAGAACAUCGGUGGCGAAAGCGUGCUACUGGGCUGAAACUGACACU
RNAcentral lists this ribosomal RNA (606 nucleotides) under Synechocystis salina LEGE 00036. RNAcentral's name for it is "bacterial SSU rRNA". It matches the Rfam family "Bacterial small subunit ribosomal RNA", at positions 108 to 747 of the family's 1533-position model. Lineage: Bacteria; Bacillati; Cyanobacteriota; Cyanophyceae; Synechococcales; Merismopediaceae. The record is from RNAcentral.